This 253-nucleotide ribosomal RNA is filed under the name uncultured bacterium. Its description in RNAcentral is "partial 16S ribosomal RNA". It matches the Rfam family "Bacterial small subunit ribosomal RNA", at positions 524 to 776 of the family's 1533-position model. The record is from RNAcentral.
GACAGAGGUGCCGAGCGUUAGUCGGAAUCACUGGGCUUAAAGCGUGUGUAGGCGGGCCGUUAAGUAUCUUGUGAAAUCCCCCGGCUCAACCGGGGAAUGGCUGGAUAUACUGGCGGUCUUGAGCGAUCUAGGGGCAGAUGGAACAAGUGGUGGAGCGGUGAAAUGCGUAGAUAUCACUUGGAACGCCAAAGGUGAAAACAGUCUGCUGGGGAUCUGCUGACGCUGAGACACGAAAGCCAGGGGAGCGAACGGG